GACGAACGCUGGCGGCGUGCUUAACACAUGCAAGUCGAACGGAAAGGCCCUGCUUGCAGGGUACUCGAGUGGCGAACGGGUGAGUAACACGUGGGUGAUCUGCCCUGCACUUCGGGAUAAGCCUGGGAAACUGGGUCUAAUACCGGAUAGGAGCCAUUUUUAGUGUGAUGGUUGGAAAGUUUUUUCGGUGUAGGAUGAGCUCGCGGCCUAUCAGCUUGUUGGUGGGGUAAUGGCCUACCAAGGCGGCGACGGGUAGCCGGCCUGAGAGGGUGGACGGCCACAUUGGGACUGAGAUACGGCCCAGACUCCUACGGGAGGCAGCAGGGGGGAAUAUUGCACAAUGGGCGCAAGCCUGAUGCAGCGACGCCGCGGUGGGGAUGACGGCCUUCGGGUUGUAAACUCCUUUCGCUAGGGACGAAGCUGUUUGUGACGGUACCUAGAGAAGAAGCACCGGCUAACUACGUG
This 465-nucleotide ribosomal RNA is filed under the name uncultured bacterium. Its description in RNAcentral is "partial 16S ribosomal RNA". It matches the Rfam family "Bacterial small subunit ribosomal RNA", at positions 28 to 507 of the family's 1533-position model. The record is from RNAcentral.